RNAcentral lists this long non-coding RNA (675 nucleotides) under Pan troglodytes (chimpanzee). RNAcentral's name for it is "long non-coding RNA NONPTRT018427". Lineage: Eukaryota; Metazoa; Chordata; Mammalia; Primates; Hominidae. The record is from RNAcentral.
CCCAUCCAGCACAGAGAUUAAAGGAAAAAACCUGGGCUUAGAUAAUGAUUACGCCAAACCACUGGAUUCAAGAAAAAGCUCAUCAUGCCCAACUAUUGCAUGACAGUAUGUGAGAGCCAACCGAUUAAAGAUAUUUUAGGAGAAUAAAAUAUUUGGAGAGCAUUGGAGUAAGGACUGUCAUUCCUGGAAUGGAAGCAUUUAAUUAAAAUGACCAUAAGCCUGAAGUGACUGGGGCAUGGGAAUAUCCUUGAUGAGAAGAUAGUGAAGCAUGUAACACCCUGGGAUAGAUGGUGCUGAUGGAACAUUUUGAGGAGACCCAAGUUGUUGGUGGAGGUGAUGGGAGACUCAGGACAACAGAAAGUAUGGGAUUUUCAAUGCUGCAGAAAUGGGGCUGAUAUGGUUUGGCUCUGUCCCCACCCAAAUAUCACCUUGAACUGUAGCUCCCAUAAUUCCUAUGUGUGGUGGGAGGGACCCAGUGGGAGGUAAUUGAAUCAUGGGGGCUGGUUUCUCCCAUGCUAUUCUCAUGAUAGUGAGUAAGUCUCACGAGAUCUGAUGGUUUUAUAAAGGGGAGUUUCCUUACACAAGUUCUGUCUUGCCUGCUGCCAUGUAAGACGUGACUUUGCUCCUUAUUCACCUUCUGCUGCGAUUGUGAUGCCUCCCCAGCCAUGAGUGAGC